UGAAGAUGUGUUGUCGCCACCACCGCCCUUGCGUCCUAAGUUCCAGGUAAAGCAGAGCACCAUGUAAGUGCAAUCUGGUUAUAGUAUCUGUCUUGUGGUUCUUUUGCUGUCUAUCUUGCUUAAGUUGCCUCUUGCACUGAUGAUACAGGAAGGCCGUACUAGAUGAUGAAUCUGGUACGCAACCUCCGGAGGCUAGGGGGGACAAGAUGGUCGAGCCGGACAAGGAGCUGUACCAAACCUG
RNAcentral lists this long non-coding RNA (241 nucleotides) under Setaria italica (foxtail millet). RNAcentral describes it as "long non-coding RNA (SITA_LNC004619)". Lineage: Eukaryota; Viridiplantae; Streptophyta; Magnoliopsida; Poales; Poaceae. The record is from RNAcentral.